This 118-nucleotide ribosomal RNA is filed under the name uncultured eukaryote. Its description in RNAcentral is "partial small subunit ribosomal RNA". The record is from RNAcentral.
CAUCGCGCUCAUCAUCGUGCUUCUGCUGAUCACCUUCGUCCCCGCGAUAACGCUGUUCCUGCCAGGCCUGAUGACGUAGCUGCGCCAGCAGCAGCGCUCUCACAGCCAUCUCUGGUCU